GGCAGGACCCAGAGGUCAACAUGUUCUAAAACUCCCUCAAGAGAUUCUAGGGCAGCUGAAGUUGGGGACCAGUGAUCUUAGGUGCUUCUGAAACUUUCGUGUCUAAUACAAGUCAUGUGGGAAUCUCCUUAAAAUGCAGAUCUGAAUCAGCAGGUCUGGGUGGGGCUAAGAUACAGCGUUUCUAACCUGCUGCCAGAUGAGGUCUAUGUUCUUGUCUACAAAACAGCAAGGCCUAGAUUUCAAGGUGCUGGAAGACGCUGCUUUGUUGCUGGGUUAGGUGAAGUUCUCUGAAGUUCAGAGGCUGGAAAGUUGACUGCCUGCGGGGAGGACACAAGCAGGCAGGCCCCGGGGAGAAGAAACGGUAAAGCAGGAACGGGAAGGACAGUAUCCCUUGAAGACAAAGCAGUGGAAGGAAAUGCAGCGGUCUGUCAGCCCAUUUGUCUAUCUCAGCUUCGAGAUGCAGAGAAGCAGGUGAACUACUACCGCCCCUCACUCUGUUUUUAUAAAGCCACUGUGCAGAGUAUGCUGUCCAAAAAGAAAAAAAAAAAAUGGGAAGAACAAAGAGUGUCAGUAGCUAUUUAGACGGAAAGACAAUAAUGCUCUUUCUAGAGUGUCCAUUAAUGCCAAUUUGCUGUGAAACUUUCCAAAGCUAAUGAGAUAUUAAAUGUGUUUUGUCAAGGGAAGAAGCUGAUUAGUCUUUGGUUUGAUUUUUUAAAUGUAAUUGGCACGGAAAAGUACAUGGCUUAAAUUUUGGAAGUAACUUUCAUUCAGAGCCCUGUCGAAAUAUGACUGGACUUGUGAAGGAAAUGAAGACCCCUUAGCUGAGAACUUGACAGCAGUUAUGAAGCAUGACUUCUCCUCUGGAUGGGGUUGAUCAUAGGACUUUUCUUGGUAUUUGUAGGGAUCCCUGAGCCCCUUGUGUAGAUGCCUGAACAUUUUAUCUUCCACACGUCACUGUCAUGGCUUUCAAAGACCGUUUCAUUCUGAGAGGGGUUUUUAGAACUUAGGGCUUUCCAGAUAACCCUUCACACAUGGAUGAACCCAGUAAUCAAUAGUCAACCUGUUACAAAACCUACAGAUAGCUAAUAUGGAACAUCAUGUUGUAUAACACACAGAUAAUGCUCUACUUGGUGUAAGGCAUUUGGUAUUAUGGA
This 1154-nucleotide long non-coding RNA is filed under the name Felis catus (domestic cat). Its description in RNAcentral is "lncRNA (ENSFCAG00000042166.2)". Lineage: Eukaryota; Metazoa; Chordata; Mammalia; Carnivora; Felidae. The record is from RNAcentral.